CCUACGGGUGGCAGCAGUGAGGAAUAUUGGUCAAUGGACGAGAGUCUGAACCAGCCAAGUAGCGUGAAGGAUGACUGCCCUAUGGGUUGUAAACUUCUUUUAUAUGGGAAUAAAAUGUUCCACGUGUGGGAUUUUGUAUGUACCAUAUGAAUAAGGAUCGGCUAACUCCGUGCCAGCAGCCGCGGCAAUACGGAGGAUCCGAGCGUUAUCCGGAUUUAUUGGGUUUAAAGGGAGCGUAGGUGGAUUGUUAAGUCAGUUGUGAAAGUUUGCGGCUCAACCGUAAAAUUGCAGUUGAAACUGACAGUCUUGAGUACAGGAGAGGUGAGCGGAAUUCGUGGUGUAGCGGUGAAAUGCUUAGAUAUCACGAGGAACACCGAUUGCGAAGGCAGUUCACUGGACUGCAACUGACACUGAGGCUCGAAAGUGUGGGUAUCAAACAGGAUUAGAUACCCUUGUAGUC
Molecule: ribosomal RNA, 460 nt
Filed under: uncultured bacterium
Lineage: Bacteria
Description: partial 16S ribosomal RNA
Rfam family: Bacterial small subunit ribosomal RNA
Source: RNAcentral